UCCAAGCUGCUGGGAGACCCACCAGGCACACAGCAGAGAGAUCUCUCGGACCUGUGGCAGUUGUACAGAGAGCUCUAGUGUUCCUCUGAUGAGGCAUCACCUAUGCUUUGGCUUUGGCGGGCUUCCCAAGACACAGCUCCUUCAGAGUCAUCCCGGCUCCUCUGUUUUCUCAUCCUGAGGUUUGCCUGUAAAACUCGGGAACCACUAUUGACAAUCUCCUGCUCUAAUUAAAUACUGCUGUGCCUUCCGGAUUGUCACUCCUGCCUCCUUCCCCCUCAGACUGCAGAUAGACAACUCUGCAGCGUAGUUGCAGCCACUGCUCCUGACUGCAUGGGGACUGUGACCCCUGGCCUCUGAGGAAAAAGUGAGAGGAUGGGCAGGAGAUGUGGUUUCCCAAUAGAAACCUCUUCAUACAAACACCGAGGCAUGAAGACCAAUUGUCCCCUCCAACAUAUGACACAUGUUGCAACAGAUAUACUGUACUACUGAUAACUUGUAUGGAAUUAUAUUUUUAAGCAAUGAUUUAUUGGAUUCUUGCUAUGUGCCAGAUAUCAUGCCAAAAGCUUUACAAAUAUGUUGGCUCAGUGAAUCCUCAAAAUAUUCCUAGGAAAGACAACAGUUUGGUGUUUCCCUCAAGAAAUUAAACAACAAUCUAGCAUA
This is a long non-coding RNA of Mesocricetus auratus (golden hamster), 660 nucleotides long. RefSeq lists it as uncharacterized. The record is from RefSeq and is a predicted model, not a curated record. The transcript is spliced from 3 exons. NCBI's taxonomy places the organism in Eukaryota, Metazoa, Chordata, Mammalia, Rodentia, Cricetidae.